GUAGCGCCCGCUCGAAAGGGCGGGCGAGGAUUGAAAC
Non-coding RNA from Candidatus Nitrospira nitrificans, 37 nucleotides. The record is from Rfam. NCBI's taxonomy places the organism in Bacteria, Pseudomonadati, Nitrospirota, Nitrospiria, Nitrospirales, Nitrospiraceae.